CGCCUUAUACUCCUACGGGAGGCAGCAGUGGGGAAUUUUGGACAAUGGGCGCAAGCCUGAUCCAGCCAUGCCGCGUGAGUGAAGAAGGCCUUCGGGUUGUAAAGCUCUUUCAGACGGAAAGAAAUCGGUGAGGUUAAUACCUUCACUGGAUGACGGUACCGUAAGAAGAAGCACCGGCUAACUACGUGCCAGCAGCCGCGGUAAUACGUAGGGUGCGAGCGUUAAUCGGAAUUACUGGGCGUAAUGCGUGCGCAGGCGGUUAUGUAAGACAGAUGUGAAAUCCCCGGGCUCAACCUGGGAACUGCGUUUGUGACUGCAUAACUAGAGUACGGCAGAGGGAGGUGGAAUUCCACGUGUAGCAGUGAAAUGCGUAGAGAUGUGGAGGAACACCGAUGGCGAAGGCAGCCUCCUGGGCCAGUACUGACGCUCAUGCACGAAAGCGUGGGGAGCAAACAGGAUUAGAAACCCUAGUAGUCCACGUACCA
RNAcentral lists this ribosomal RNA (485 nucleotides) under uncultured bacterium. RNAcentral describes it as "bacterial SSU rRNA". It matches the Rfam family "Bacterial small subunit ribosomal RNA", at positions 327 to 804 of the family's 1533-position model. The record is from RNAcentral.